AGGGAAUAUUAGUAAUGGGCGAAAGCCUGAACUAGCAACGCCGCGUGUACGAAGAAGGCCUUCGGGUUGUAAAGCACUUUUUGAGAGGAUGAGGAAGGACGGUACUCUCAGAAUAAGUCUCGGCUAACUACGUGCCAGCAGCCGCGGUAACACGUAGGAGGCAAACGUUAUCCGGAUUUACUGGGCGUAAAGCGCGUGUAGGUGGUUUGGUAAGUAGGGCGUGAAAGCUCCUGGCUCAACUGGGAGAGGACGUUCUAAACUGCCAAGCUUGAGGAUGGUAGAGGGAGGUGGAACUCCGGGUGUAGCGGUGGAAUGCGCAGAUAUCCGGAGGAACACCAGUGGCGAAGGCGGCCUCCUGGACCACUCCUGACACUCAGACGCGAAAGCUAGGGUAGCAAACGG
Molecule: ribosomal RNA, 402 nt
Filed under: uncultured bacterium
Lineage: Bacteria
Description: bacterial SSU rRNA
Rfam family: Bacterial small subunit ribosomal RNA
Source: RNAcentral